AAUGAAUGCAACUUCUUAGGUCGUGAUGAAGAGGCAACACAGACUGGGCUUGUCCAGCCUGGAGAAGUGAAGACCAAAAGGAGAUCCUACUGCCAUGAGAGGAAGUGGGGAGCAGACUGGACAGAGUUGAGGGAGGAGGACCAGAAAGAACUGAACCGAGUUUUCUGUGACCUGGGAAGCCAUUCUACUGCUGAAGUGCCUGAGAUGAUCUUCUCAUGAAUGUUAAAUCCCCACAAAUCAGCAUAUUCAAACAGGGGGGAGGACCCAGAGGCUAAGAUGUUGAGCUUGCAGAACACAAAUGAAAUCUAUCUGGAAAGAAACAGUAAGUCACUUACUCUAAUCUUUUUAAAUUUCAAACUUUUUUUAAGUGCUGAAAAAAAAAUUAUUUUCAACACAGGAAAAAUAUCUACAGAAAGUGUAGAUUCAGGGAAUAAAUCACAGAGCUAGAUCACAUGAGAUCAGAAUAGUUUUAUCUU
This 476-nucleotide long non-coding RNA is filed under the name Junco hyemalis (dark-eyed junco). RNAcentral's name for it is "lncRNA (ENSJHYG00000005177.1)". The record is from RNAcentral. Lineage: Eukaryota; Metazoa; Chordata; Aves; Passeriformes; Passerellidae.